This 335-nucleotide unclassified non-coding RNA is filed under the name soil metagenome. RNAcentral describes it as "partial contains 5.8S ribosomal RNA, internal transcribed spacer 2, and large subunit ribosomal RNA". The stretch from base 1 to 120 matches the Rfam family "5.8S ribosomal RNA", at positions 35 to 154 of the family's 154-position model. The record is from RNAcentral.
GAUGAAGAACGUAGCGAAAUGCGAUAAGUAAUGUGAAUUGCAGAAUUCAGUGAAUCAUCGAAUCUUUGAACGCACAUUGCGCCCGCCAGUAUUCUGGCGGGCAUGCCUGUUCGAGCGUCAUUUCAACCAUCAAGCCCCCGGCUUGUGUUGGGGACCUGCGGCUGCCGCAGGCCCUGAAAACCAGUGGCGGGCUCGCUGUCACACCGAGCGUAGUAGAUUUUCAUCUCGCUCAGGGCGUGCUGCGGGUUCCGGCCGUAAAAAGCCUUAUUUACCCAAGGUUGACCUCGGAUCAGGUAGGAAGACCCGCUGAACUUAAGCAUAUCAAUAAGCGGGGA